RNAcentral lists this ribosomal RNA (224 nucleotides) under uncultured bacterium. RNAcentral describes it as "partial 16S ribosomal RNA". It matches the Rfam family "Bacterial small subunit ribosomal RNA", at positions 109 to 334 of the family's 1533-position model. The record is from RNAcentral.
AGUAAUGCAUAGGAAUCUGCCCAUGUAGUGGGGGGACAACCUGGGGAAACUCAGGCUAAUACCGCAUGAGCCCUUCGGGGGAAAGCAGGGGAUCUUCGGACCUUACGCUAUUGGAUGAGCCUAUGCCUGAUUAGCUUGUUGGUGGGGUAACGGCCUACCGAGGCGACGAUCAGUAGCUGGUCUGAGAGGACGAUCAGCCACACUGGGACUGAGACACGGCCCAG